Molecule: long non-coding RNA, 395 nt
Filed under: Phoenix dactylifera (date palm)
Lineage: Eukaryota; Viridiplantae; Streptophyta; Magnoliopsida; Arecales; Arecaceae
Description: long non-coding RNA (PDAC_LNC019678)
Source: RNAcentral
UUGAUUGUUUGCCAUAUUGACAAGCUUCACAUAUUUUAUUCUUUUCAAACUUUAGUUUUGGCAAACCUAUCACGGAAUCUCUUUUAACUAAUUUUGAUAUUGUGUCCAUGCUUACAUAACCUAACUUACGGUGCCAUAACCAACUAGCAUCAUUAUCCUUAGUUUCAUUAACAACUAAACAUGGGUUAUGUUUGGCAAAAUCCUCAAGGUCUACAACAUACACAUUUCCACGUCUUAUUCCUUUAAAAACUAAACUAUUGUCAUUUGAGUUGGUUAUGAUGCAUAGUGAUGGUUUGAACAAAACAUCAAAACCUCUAUCACACAAUUGACCAAUGCUAAGUAGAUUAUGCUUAAGACCAUCAACAUAUCGAACAUUAUCAAUAAAAGUUGAAGGG